UUAAGCGACUAAGCGUACACGGUGGAUGCCCUGGCAGUCAGAGGCGAUGAAGGACGUGCUAAUCUGCGAUAAGCGUCGGUAAGGUGAUAUGAACCGUUAUAACCGGCGAUUUCCGAAUGGGGAAACCCAGUGUGUUUCGACACACUAUCAUUAACUGAAUCCAUAGGUUAAUGAGGCGAACCGGGGGAACUGAAACAUCUAAGUACCCCGAGGAAAAGAAAUCAACCGAGAUUCCCCCAGUAGCGGCGAGCGAACGGGGAGCAGCCCAGAGCCUGAAUCAGUGUGUGUGUUAGUGGAAGCGUCUGGAAAGGCGCGCGAUACAGGGUGACAGCCCCGUACACAAAAAUGCACAUGCUGUGAGCUCGAUGAGUAGGGCGGGACACGUGGUAUCCUGUCUGAAUAUGGGGGGACCAUCCUCCAAGGCUAAAUACUCCUGACUGACCGAUAGUGAACCAGUACCGUGAGGGAAAGGCGAAAAGAACCCCGGCGAGGGGAGUGAAAAAGAACCUGAAACCGUGUACGUACAAGCAGUGGGAGCACAGAGCAAUCUGUGUGACUGCGUACCUUUUGUAUAAUGGGUCAGCGACUUAUAUUCUGUAGCAAGGUUAACCGAAUAGGGGAGCCGAAGGGAAACCGAGUCUUAACUGGGCGUUAAGUUGCAGGGUAUAGACCCGAAACCCGGUGAUCUAGCCAUGGGCAGGUUGAAGGUUGGGUAACACUAACUGGAGGACCGAACCGACUAAUGUUGAAAAAUUAGCGGAUGACUUGUGGCUGGGGGUGAAAGGCCAAUCAAACCGGGAGAUAGCUGGUUCUCCCCGAAAGCUAUUUAGGUAGCGCCUCGUGAAUUCAUCUCCGGGGGUAGAGCACUGUUUCGGCAAGGGGGUCAUCCCGACUUACCAACCCGAUGCAAACUGCGAAUACCGGAGAAUGUUAUCACGGGAGACACACGGCGGGUGCUAACGUCCGUCGUGAAGAGGGAAACAACCCAGACCGCCAGCUAAGGUCCCAAAGUCAUGGUUAAGUGGGAAACGAUGUGGGAAGGCCCAGACAGCCAGGAUGUUGGCUUAGAAGCAGCCAUCAUUUAAAGAAAGCGUAAUAGCUCACUGGUCGAGUCGGCCUGCGCGGAAGAUGUAACGGGGCUAAACCAUGCACCGAAGCUGCGGCAGCGACGCUGAUGCGUUGUUGGGUAGGGGAGCGUUCUGUAAGCCUGCGAAGGUGUGCUGUGAGGCAUGCUGGAGGUAUCAGAAGUGCGAAUGCUGACAUAAGUAACGAUAAAGCGGGUGAAAAGCCCGCUCGCCGGAAGACCAAGGGUUCCUGUCCAACGUUAAUCGGGGCAGGGUGAGUCGACCCCUAAGGCGAGGCCGAAAGGCGUAGUCGAUGGGAAACAGGUUAAUAUUCCUGUACUUGGUGUUACUGCGAAGGGGGGACGGAGAAGGCUAUGUUGGCCGGGCGACGGUUGUCCCGGUUUAAGCGUGUAGGCUGGUUUUCCAGGCAAAUCCGGAAAAUCAAGGCUGAGGCGUGAUGACGAGGCACUACGGUGCUGAAGCAACAAAUGCCCUGCUUCCAGGAAAAGCCUCUAAGCAUCAGGUAACAUCAAAUCGUACCCCAAACCGACACAGGUGGUCAGGUAGAGAAUACCAAGGCGCUUGAGAGAACUCGGGUGAAGGAACUAGGCAAAAUGGUGCCGUAACUUCGGGAGAAGGCACGCUGAUAUGUAGGUGAAGUCCCUCGCGGAUGGAGCUGAAAUCAGUCGAAGAUACCAGCUGGCUGCAACUGUUUAUUAAAAACACAGCACUGUGCAAACACGAAAGUGGACGUAUACGGUGUGACGCCUGCCCGGUGCCGGAAGGUUAAUUGAUGGGGUCAGCGCAAGCGAAGCUCUUGAUCGAAGCCCCGGUAAACGGCGGCCGUAACUAUAACGGUCCUAAGGUAGCGAAAUUCCUUGUCGGGUAAGUUCCGACCUGCACGAAUGGCGUAAUGAUGGCCAGGCUGUCUCCACCCGAGACUCAGUGAAAUUGAACUCGCUGUGAAGAUGCAGUGUACCCGCGGCAAGACGGAAAGACCCCGUGAACCUUUACUAUAGCUUGACACUGAACAUUGAGCCUUGAUGUGUAGGAUAGGUGGGAGGCUUUGAAGUGUGGACGCCAGUCUGCAUGGAGCCGACCUUGAAAUACCACCCUUUAAUGUUUGAUGUUCUAACGUGGACCCGUAAUCCGGGUUGCGGACAGUGUCUGGUGGGUAGUUUGACUGGGGCGGUCUCCUCCUAAAGAGUAACGGAGGAGCACGAAGGUUGGCUAAUCCUGGUCGGACAUCAGGAGGUUAGUGCAAUGGCAUAAGCCAGCUUGACUGCGAGCGUGACGGCGCGAGCAGGUGCGAAAGCAGGUCAUAGUGAUCCGGUGGUUCUGAAUGGAAGGGCCAUCGCUCAACGGAUAAAAGGUACUCCGGGGAUAACAGGCUGAUACCGCCCAAGAGUUCAUAUCGACGGCGGUGUUUGGCACCUCGAUGUCGGCUCAUCACAUCCUGGGGCUGAAGUAGGUCCCAAGGGUAUGGCUGUUCGCCAUUUAAAGUGGUACGCGAGCUGGGUUUAGAACGUCGUGAGACAGUUCGGUCCCUAUCUGCCGUGGGCGCUGGAGAAUUGAGGGGGGCUGCUCCUAGUACGAGAGGACCGGAGUGGACGCAUCACUGGUGUUCGGGUUGUCAUGCCAAUGGCACUGCCCGGUAGCUAAAUACGGAAGAGAUAAGUGCUGAAAGCAUCUAAGCACGAAACUUGCCCCGAGAUGAGUUCUCCCUGACUCCUUGAGAGUCCUGAAGGAACGUUGAAGACGACGACGUUGAUAGGCCGGGUGUGUAAGCGCAGCGAUGCGUUGAGCUAACCGGUACUAAUGAACCGUGAGGCUUAACCUU
RNAcentral lists this ribosomal RNA (2904 nucleotides) under Escherichia coli. RNAcentral's name for it is "bacterial LSU rRNA". It matches the Rfam family "Bacterial large subunit ribosomal RNA". Lineage: Bacteria; Pseudomonadati; Pseudomonadota; Gammaproteobacteria; Enterobacterales; Enterobacteriaceae. The record is from RNAcentral.